RNAcentral lists this RNase P RNA (378 nucleotides) under Citrobacter freundii. RNAcentral describes it as "RNase P RNA component class A". It matches the Rfam family "Bacterial RNase P class A". Rfam says of the family: Ribonuclease P (RNase P) is a ubiquitous endoribonuclease, found in archaea, bacteria and eukarya as well as chloroplasts and mitochondria. The record is from RNAcentral. Lineage: Bacteria; Pseudomonadati; Pseudomonadota; Gammaproteobacteria; Enterobacterales; Enterobacteriaceae.
GAAGCUGACCAGACAGUCGCCGCUUCGUCGUCGUCCUCUUCGGGGGAGACGGGCGGAGGGGAGGAAAGUCCGGGCUCCAUAGGGCAGGGUGCCAGGUAACGCCUGGGGGGGGAAACCCACGACCAGUGCAACAGAGAGCAAACCGCCGAUGGCCCACGUAAGUGGGAUCAGGUAAGGGUGAAAGGGUGCGGUAAGAGCGCACCGCGCGGCUGGUAACAGUCCGUGGCACGGUAAACUCCACCCGGAGCAAGGCCAAAUAGGGGUUCACAAGGUACGGCCCGUACUGAACCCGGGUAGGCUGCUUGAGCCAGUGAGCGAUUGCUGGCCUAGAUGAAUGACUGUCCACGACAGAACCCGGCUUAUCGGUCAGCUUCACUC